AGUGAACGAGUACUGUGAAGGAAGCGGUGAAAAGCACCCCGGGAGGGGAGUGAAAGAGAACCUGAAACCAUGGACUUACAAGCGGUCAAAGCCUAUUUAUUGGGUGAUGGCGUGCCUUUUGUAGAAUGAGCCUGCGAGUUAUCAUAUGAAGCAAGGUUAAGCAAUAGAAGUUGCGGAGCCGGAGGGAAACCGAGUCUUAAUAGGGCGAAUGAGUUUCAUGUGGUAGACCCGAAUCCGAGUGAUCUAUUUAUGGUCAGGCUGAAGCUUGGGUAAGACCAAGUGGAGGGCCGAACACUAGUCCGCUGAAAAGGGCAGUGAUGAACUGUGAAUAGGGGUGAAAGGCUAAUCAAACUCGGAGAUAGCUGGUUCUCCUCGAAAUGUAUUUAGGUACAGCCUCAAUUGUUUAGUUGGUGGGGUAAAGCACUGAUUAGGCUAGGGCCCGUCACAGGGUACCAAACUUAGUUAAACUAUGAAUACACCAACUCCAAGAUUGGGAGUGAGACUGCGGGCGAUAAGGUUCGUAGUCGAAAGGGAAACAGCCCAGACCGUCAAUUAAGGUCCCAAAAUUAUGCUAAGUGGAGAAGGAAGUGUCACGGCAAAGACAGCUAGGAGGUUGGCUUAGAAGCAGCCAUUCCUUAAAAGAGUGCGUAAUAGCUCACUAGUCGAGUCGUGAUGCGCCGAAAAUGUAACGGGGCUAAGCAUAAUACCGAAAUUACGGAUUCUAUACAUAUCGUAUAGAGUGGUAGAGGAGCAUUCCCUAGGGCGGUGAAGGUAGAUUGAGAAGUCUGCUGGAGUUAUGGGAAGAGAGAAUGCAGGCAUGAGUAACGAAAAGAAAGGUGAGAGUCCUUUCCGCCGAAAAUGUAAGGUUUCCAGGGUAAAGGUUGUCUUCCCUGGGUGAGUCGACCCCUAAGGCGAGGCUGAAAAGCGUAGUCGAUGGGAAGCAGGUUAAUAUUCCUGCACUUCUGAUGUGUUCGAUGGAGUGACACAGGAGGAGAAUAUCCGCCACUGAUUGGAUUGUGGUCUAAGCAUCAAGCUGAUUGAAAGAGUGUAGGCAAAUCCGCACUUUUAGGUAAGAUGUGAAGGGGAAGGCUGUAAUAGGCUAGAAGGGAUAGGAUUCAUACUGUCAAGAAAUAACUUCUAAGAAUGGCACAUUGGGAAUCGUACCGUAAACCGACACAGGUACAUGAGAAGAGUAUUCUAAGGCGUACGAGAGAACUAGAGUUAAGGAACUCGGCAAAAUACAUACGUAACUUCGGGAUAAGUAUGACCACAGAAAUGUGGUGACACAAGAGAGGUUCGGGCGACUGUUUACCAAAAACACAGGUCUCUGCUAACUCGCAAGAGGAAGUAUAGGGGCUGACGCCUGCCCGGUGCUGGAAGGUUAAGAGGAUUGGUUAGCUAGCAAUAGCGAAGCUAAGAAUUGAAGCCCCAGUAAACGGCGGCCGUAACUAUGACGGUCCUAAGGUAGCGAAAUUCCUCGUCGGGUAAUUUCCGACCCGCACGAAUGGCGUAACGAUCCGGACACUGUCUCAACUCUAGACUCGGUGAAAUUGAAGUAUCGGUGAAGAUGCCGAUUACCCACAGUUAGACGAAAAGACCCCGUGAACCUUUACUGUAACCUGAUAUUGAGAUUUGGGCAAUCAUGCGUAGGAUAGGUGGGAGACUAUGAAGUUUGGGCUUUGGCCUGAAUGGAGUCGUUGGUGAAAUACCACCCUUGGUUGUUUAGAUUUCUAACUGGUGCCAUCAACUGGUACUAGGACAUUGUCAGGCGGGCAGUUUGGCUGGGGCGGUCGCCUCCUAAAGAGUAACGGAGGCGCGCGAAGGUUACCUUAUCUUGGUUAGAAAUCAAGAAGUAAGUGCAAAGGCAGAAGGUAGCUUGACUGCGAGACGCAACAGGUCGAGC
This 1903-nucleotide ribosomal RNA is filed under the name Simulium sp. Sim Corn. Its description in RNAcentral is "bacterial LSU rRNA". It matches the Rfam family "Bacterial large subunit ribosomal RNA", at positions 489 to 2394 of the family's 2925-position model. Lineage: Eukaryota; Metazoa; Arthropoda; Insecta; Diptera; Simuliidae. The record is from RNAcentral.